AAGCCAACAGGGUGAGUCGGCAGGAGCACGGCUGUCCCGCUGGGAUUACGGCUGGAAGGCAGGACCUUUUCUCCCCCCCUCCAUCAUUUCAGACACCACUUAACGGUGGGAAACAAGUGACAUUUGUGCAGUCAGUUUUUCCCAUGGAAACAUACCCGGGCCUGGCUCCUCCUCUCCUGUCGCUGCUCCGAGGGACGUGGGCUCCGGGUCUGAAGACCCGGAGCAUUUGGAAGGAGAAUGGAGCAGAUGGAGACGAUGCAAAAAGCUGGAUCGUGGCAGCUGGACCCCCCUUCUGGGGGAAAGCCAACCCUCCGGACCCCGGGAGAGGUGAGGAAACACUGCAGGAGUGACUCAGGAGAUGGGGAGGGCGGAUAAGGAUCCAGGCAGCCGGCAUUCCGUCACCAACACUGCUCCCAAACCGCGCUCCCGGCUCCUCUUCCCACAGAUCCACGGACCAGGAACCACAUGCACGGACACGCAGCCGUCGGGAACACUCGGAGUCACCGCCGGCGAGGCUCCUCUGCAAACUCCUGUUGCUUCACCCCCCCGGGCUGGGUCGGUUUGGGGUUGGGUCCCUGCUUUUUUUUUUUUGGCAUUAGCGCAUCGAUUGCUGUUGCAACACUCCGAGGUGAGCCGGUUUAUGGUCUUAUAAACACCCCUCUUUCAAAACAGAGUCUUUGCAAGAAAAAUAAGAUAUCGGACCAAGUUUCCUCUUUGCAGCUUCCCAGCACGGCAGCAGCAGGGAUUUGGGAGCUGGGAUUAGAAUCCCACUGCGCUCACUCCCUGAAAGCAACAGUGCCUGACGCUGACACCCCCAAACUUCCCCUGUCUAACUCUCAGAAGCCCGUUCCUCGCUACCAUCAGGUCCAGGCCCGAGCCACCAACACCGGCCCCGAAAAGCUCCUGCCAACUUCUCCCCGCAAAGGGCCUCCAGCCCCAACCUGAAGGUUAUUUCUGAUUGAUUCGACACCGGGGCAGCCGCAGACGCCGGGCCGACACCGCCACCCGCGCAGCCCUCUCUCCAUCUGAGUGCACCCGGCGCUCACCGCAGCAGUUUCCAGAGAUGAUUAAGCUUUUCCCUUUCAGAGAGAAAUGUGUAAAAAGAAAUGGAAAGUAGAGAGAAAAAGAGAGAGAGAGAGAGAGGGGAAAGUUACCCUUCGUGGACAAUAGGAGGCAUUGAACUCGUCCCCGAUGCGCCGCAGCUCCUGCGCGAUCCAGACCUCGGGUUGCACGUCCUCGGCCACCGAGUGCCACCGGGAAGCUGCACGGGGAAAAACGGGAGUGUUGGGAAGGGAGGAACAACAAAACUUCACAGCAGUCCACCCAAUCUUGCCGUUUUAUUGCUGCUUUUUAUUGUGGCUGUGCCUUGAUUCUCACAUCCAGGUGCCAGAUGUUCCGCGGCACAAAUGGGACUUGUCAUCACAAGCCAGGCUUUUAUUCCUUAUCAUUCCCAUUAUUGUUAUUAUUAUUAUUAAGCAUUUAUUUAUUUAUUUAUUCAUUAUUCCAAGCUUUCCCUGGGAGCACCUCCAAGCUUUGGUCCCCUCCUGAACAGGGAGAAAAGCCAGGAUGCCACUCGCCUGUUUACUUCCCUCACCAAACCUCCUCUUCCCCCCUCCUUUCUCAACUACUUUUUUUCCUUGCAGGCACAGCAGCAGCUCCUUCCCUAACCUUAAAAACCCUCUGUCUGGAUAGUUUCAGCCAAUUAUCACAUUUCUGCUCCCAGUCAUCCCGAAGUGCCCAACAAGGAAAGGAAAAGGGUUUGUCACAAGGAGGAGAAAGCCACAGUUGGAUUUGUGUGUGGAGAAACCACAUUCCCAGCAAAACCAAGUGCUGGCUUGUAAGUGGAAAAAGAGUUAAUGUAUUAACUACACUGUGUGAUACAUAAUUAUUUCAGUCUCCAUCUUAAGAAGUUAUUAAACACAUGAUAAAUGCCUCAAACAGCCAGGGGAAAAAAGGAGGCAGGACCACGUACAGCACUGGCACCACCUCAUCCCCCCUCCUGCAAGCCCAAGUGCAGGAUCCUAGCAGGAAUCACAGCCUUAAGGAAAAUAAUAAUAAUAAAAAAAAAACUAAAAAGAAAAUAAACAAAAAAACCCAAAACAACCCCACACAAUCAAAAAAAAAAAAAAAAACCCAAACAAAAACAAACCCAAAACAAAAAAAAAACCUCCACUGCACAAAACAAAACAGUGCUUUGGCACGACAGCUUCGGAGGAAUCACAAGGGAACAGGGGAACAGCUUCCAAUCUCCGAAUAUUCAAAGGAUUAGCGGGGCAGUAAAAAAAAAAAAAAAAAAAAAAAUUAAAUAAAAAGCCUGGCUCCGACCUGACUGGAAAAUGUCUCUGGGAGCCAAGGCAGCGCCGCUUGGCUCGGGGACGUGUUUUGUUUUCACGCUGUAGUAGCGCAGGAGUAGCACCCGCCGCCUGCCCAGGGACGGCCCCGCAGCACUGCUGCUCCUCGCCGCUGAAUGAAACACAGCCCUCGCGAUAUUCCAGCCUCUGGAGCUCUCCGGGAAGGCAAACAGGGAUUCCGGCCGGGGCGGAGCGACCAUCCGAAAUCCCACCGCCGUCAGCAGAGCCGGCCCAGCAAGGGAAACAAAAACACCACGGGCAGACACGGGACAAAAAGAUGCGGGGAGAUACGGGGAUCCAGGAAAAACCACGCGGGGCAGAGGGUCUGCUCCCUCUCCAUCCUUUCCCCCCCUUCUCCAUCCUUUCCCCCCCGCCCCCGCCCCAGCAGAGCGCCCACGGGCUCAUCCGCCCCGAGAGGCGAAGCCUGGGGUUGGUGGCUGAGAGCGAAAUCGGGCUGAGGUUUUCAGAAAGGACUUUCUGUGGCGCUGCGUCAAAAGGGUCCAGUCAUAACUGGUCCCCAAACCAGUCAGAGGUGCUUUCGGGGGCGGGGGGGGGGUGGCACAGUCAUACCGCGACACACCGAGGGCGACACGGCCGCCCCGGGGACGGGGACGGGGACAAACCCGGGGGCCACCACGUCUCACUCCAAACCCAUGGGAUGCUCCAGCACGGCGGCGCUGCAGUCCCGGCUCAGAAGGGCAAAAAAAAAACAACCUCAGAUUGCACCUUCAGCCCCCGGGCUUAGUUAUCCAACCCCCCUGGAGAAAACCUCCUCUGAGGAAAUGGCAGCAGCAGCUCCACCGGACACCCCCACCAGCUUCCCGGCUCCAGGUUUUCCCCUUAAAUCCACCUAUUUCCACGGGGAGGAUCUCCUUAGUGGGCAACAAGAGGUUCAUGAUGCUUCUCUUCCCACGGGAAAAUGAUCAGGAUCAGAGCAGCCCAUUUACAGAGCACUUGCUCCAAACACAUUCCCAAAAGCCACGCAGAUGGAAAACCCAACGGAAGGACAUGAUCCUCUCCUACUAGGACACAAAACAUCAGGCAAAGAGUCUCCCAACCCCUCCCAAAAGGUGAGUUUCUUGUCUUUGGGUGAUUUAUGCUCCCAGCAGAGCACCCACCAACCCUCCCAACCUCGUCCCCAAAAAGCAGGAUCAUCAUCCUUUUCCCCUGUACCUCCCCUGGCACAACCAAAUCAUCUCAUCCCUGCUCCUCUCCUACCCAUCCCCAAAAGCAUCUUCCUGGACAUGCCAAGCAAACAACACAACCCUUCCUCCCUCCCACCCCAGAAUCCCAGAACCUCCCCUUGCUGUCCCAUUUCCAAAAUAAAAAAAAAAAAAAAGGCUUUGGAAGCAUCCACCACCUCCCCACCAAGGACUCCUCCUCACACAUCCUGGCAUUCCCGGCAUUCCCAAGGGCUGCCUCUACCUUUUUUUUUUUGCCCCCACCAUAAACUUUGGGGAAGGUUUUUACGAGGUUUAGAAGAGGGAGUUUUGGGGCAGAGCAUGAGCUUGCUGUGCUGGAGCAGCCUUGGAGCAAUUCCCUGCUGCCCACGGGAGAGGCUGGGAGCAUCCGUCGCUCCUGCUCGCAGGAAGCGCCUGUUUAUUAUUAUUAUUAUUAUUAUUGUUAUUAUUAAAGGCCCCUUGCUUGUGCUUCUGAGAGAAAC
Long non-coding RNA from Pseudopipra pipra, 4014 nucleotides. RefSeq lists it as uncharacterized. The transcript has 2 exons. The record is from RefSeq and is a predicted model, not a curated record. NCBI's taxonomy places the organism in Eukaryota, Metazoa, Chordata, Aves, Passeriformes, Pipridae.